RNAcentral lists this transfer RNA (75 nucleotides) under Acinetobacter baumannii. RNAcentral's name for it is "tRNA-Arg". It matches the Rfam family "tRNA". Rfam says of the family: Transfer RNA (tRNA) molecules are approximately 80 nucleotides in length. The record is from RNAcentral. Lineage: Bacteria; Pseudomonadati; Pseudomonadota; Gammaproteobacteria; Moraxellales; Moraxellaceae.
GGCCUCAUCGUUCAACGGAUAGGACUAAAGCCUUCUAAGCUUUCAAUCGGGGUUCGAAUCCCUGUGGGGUCACAA